AGAGAAGCAAGACUGUGAAGAGGAGCCAAACUCAAAAACCGGUCCCAGUUCGGAUUGUAGGCUGCAACUCGCCUACAUGAAGUCGGAGUUGCUAGUAAUCGCGGAUCAGAAUGCCGCGGUGAAUGCGUUCCCGGGUCUUGUACACACCGCCCGUCGCACCAUGGAAGUUGGGGGCGCCCGAAGUUGGUCGGGAAAUAGAUUACCUAAGGCGAAACCAAUGACUGGGGUGAAGUCGUAACAAGGUAGC
Molecule: ribosomal RNA, 247 nt
Filed under: uncultured bacterium
Lineage: Bacteria
Description: partial 16S ribosomal RNA
Rfam family: Bacterial small subunit ribosomal RNA
Source: RNAcentral